Long non-coding RNA from Mustela lutreola (European mink), 246 nucleotides. RefSeq lists it as uncharacterized. The transcript is spliced from 2 exons. The record is from RefSeq and is a predicted model, not a curated record. NCBI's taxonomy places the organism in Eukaryota, Metazoa, Chordata, Mammalia, Carnivora, Mustelidae.
CCCCUGAGCCCCAGCUGAUUUGCAUGAACAGCUAGAGGAUAAGAGAGGCCUGGGAUGAAUCCAGCCAGGCUAUAGAACUUGGAGAGUAGAAUCAGGGCAUCUCCACCAUGGCCUGGACUCCUCUCCUUCUUGGCCUCCUUGCUCACUGCACUGGUUCUGUGGCCUCCUAUGUGCUGACUCAGCCUCCAUCUGUGUCAGUGGCUCUGGGACAGACAGCCCAGGUCACCUGUGGGGGAAACAACAUUG